Molecule: ribosomal RNA, 492 nt
Filed under: uncultured bacterium
Lineage: Bacteria
Description: partial 16S ribosomal RNA
Rfam family: Bacterial small subunit ribosomal RNA
Source: RNAcentral
AGUGAACGCUGGCGGUAGGCCUAACACAUGCAAGUCGAACGGCAGCACAGUAAGAGCUUGCUCUUACGGGUGGCGAGUUGCGGACGGGUGAGGAAUACAUCGGAAUCUACUUUUUCGUGGGGGAUAACGUAGUGAAACUUACGCUAAUACCGCAUACGACCUACGGGUGCAAGCCGGACAUCUUCGGACCUUGCUCGAUUGAAUGAGCCGAUGUCGGAUUAGCUAGUUGGCGGGGUAAAGGCCCACCAAGGCGAGGAUCCGUAGCUGGUCUGAGAGGAUGAUCAGCCGCACGGGAGCUGAAACCCGGGACAAACUCCAACGAAAGGAACAAGUAAGAAAUAUAGGACAAGGAGCAAAAGCAUGAUCAGCACAAACCGCAUGAGUGAAGAAAGCGUUCGGGUUGGAAAGACCUAUUGUUAGGAAAGAAAAGAAGCAGGUUAAUACCCCGCUGUUCGUAAGGUACCCAAAGAAUAAGCACGGGCUAACUUCGUG